This 323-nucleotide ribosomal RNA is filed under the name Eleutherodactylus sp. KU291650. RNAcentral describes it as "partial 12S ribosomal RNA". It matches the Rfam family "Bacterial small subunit ribosomal RNA", at positions 871 to 1364 of the family's 1533-position model. The record is from RNAcentral. Lineage: Eukaryota; Metazoa; Chordata; Amphibia; Anura; Eleutherodactylidae.
GCCAGGGAACUACGAGCUAAAGCUUAAAACCCAAAGGANUUGACGGNGCCCCNCAUCCAUUUANAGGAGCCUGUCCUACAACCGACACCCCCCGUUUUNCCUCACCNCUUUUAGCUUAUCAGCCUGUAUACUUCCGUCGUCAGCUUACCGCAUGAGCGAGAUCAGUAAGCCUAAUAUCACCCUNUAACACGUCAGGUCAAAGUGCAGCAAAUAAAAUGGCAAAAGAUGGGNUACNCUUUNUAACCUAGAAAACACGAAAGACUAUGUGAAACCAUAAUCAGAAGGUGGAUUUAGCAGUAAGAAGAAAGUAGAGCAUCCUUCUU